Molecule: long non-coding RNA, 1539 nt
Organism: Leopardus geoffroyi (Geoffroy's cat)
Lineage: Eukaryota; Metazoa; Chordata; Mammalia; Carnivora; Felidae
Exons: 3
Source: RefSeq, a predicted model, not a curated record
UGUACUCUUGAAGAAAGGUGUGUAUAAAUUACAGUUUGGUAAAUUGGAUCCUGUGUGUUCACUGAUUUCCAUGAUUACUCCUGAGUUUGUGGUGUUUUUUCCCCCUAUGGAUCUUUAACUGGCCUUGGAUGUUUUAGACUUAAAUUGCCCCUCUGCCUAGCCAAAUAGCUAAUCAUCUGUAAAUAACACCCUUAAAUGCAGUAGGGGAGAUGGUUUUUAAAGGAACCCUGCUGAAUUCCUCUGUAAUGAAAAUAAUUCCUACUUGAGGUUAUCUGUUUUUUAAGAUGCACUUUUGCAUAAUGGGUUUUCCACCUACUUAAGUGAAUCAUCCUAAUGUGACCCAGGCCGUGAAAGCAUUUAGAGAGAGAUUUCCACUCAUGGCUCUGUGUCAUUAGAACCUAAUCCUACAGAUUCUCCCCAUUCUUCCUAACUGAUCCCAGUUUUUCCUCCUCAUCCUGACCUUUAUCCUGGUGUGAAAACCCAAUUCAAGUUGUAUCAUGAAACAUCACACAUUCUCUCACAUGUUCUGAUGAACCACUAGCAUCCAGACUGUAAAGUGAGCCCACUUUCUGGCAGACAAAUGAAGUCAAGGCAAAAACUCCUGAGAAUUAGGGAAGAUCACCUUGUACCAAGUGGAAGACAUUUAAUAUUAAUAUUUUUGUCUUAAAACAUUAACUUUUCAUCAAGUAAAUUAAAGGAAUUCAAUGAGCUGAUUUGUUAGUUCUGAACUAAUUUUAAUUAAUUUAAUUGCCUUGUGGUUGCUUUGCAUAGCCCACAACCAACCCCUCAACGGCGAGGUUUGUUGAAAGCGGGGGCAGGGCUGGUGGGCUUGCUCACUGCCCACGCAGCCCUGGGGCCGGUGGUCUGGAGGCUCCUGCUUCGGGGAGAGUCACCAGCUUUAUGAUCAGCGCUGUUUGCAUAUAGCGCCUGCAUACUAUCCGAAAUGACUCUGGGCAAAAAUAGGAAAGGAGAGAAACUGUCACCUCUCUUCCAAAUUAGAACAUUACCUCCCCUUUUUAUUAUUUGAAAUAUCAAGAAGUAGAUCCAAGGUUUCAUAAAUGGCAAAGUCACUUUCUCAUUUGGAUUAGCAAAGCCAGCUGUCACGGGCCCUUAUUUCUAUAAGAAGUAGUAGGUCGAUGUUACCCACUUUGUUUUUUUUCUUUACAAUUUCAUGAAUAGAUUUUAAAUCUAUUUAAAUAGAUUUAAGCACACGACAAAUGUGGUGUGUGCUCACUGUAAUUGGAGAAGCAUGCUAAUAAACACACACACUCACAUAUAUGUGGAAUGAUGUGGGAAUAAUAUCCCCAUUUUAUUCCAAAACAUACAACGUGAAAGCAACCCCCUGUUGGUUGCCUGGAAAAUGUCUUAACACGUUUUCUCCAUAAUAGGAUGCAAAGAAGGACAAACACACAUGGAAUGGAGGUGUUAGUUGUUUGCUUUUCUACGGAGGGGACUGUACACAUACAUAUUAUGGGCACAUUACACGUAUUAAUCGUAUUUUGUGACUACCUCCCAUUCAGCUGUUCACAUGAGUAUUAU